UACGUAGGGUGCAAGCGUUGUCCGGAAUUAUUGGGCGUAAAGAGCUCGUAGGCGGUCUGUUGCGUCGGCUGUGAAAACCCGGGGCUCAACCCCGGGCCUGCAGCCGAUACGAGCAGACUAGAGUUCGGCAGGGGAGACUGGAAUUCCUGGUGUAGCGGUGAAAUGCGUAGAUAUCAGGAGGAACACCUGUGGUGUAGACAGCUUACUGGACCACUUCUGACGCUGAGACACGAAAGCGUGGGUAGCAAACAGG
This 253-nucleotide ribosomal RNA is filed under the name uncultured bacterium. RNAcentral's name for it is "partial 16S ribosomal RNA". It matches the Rfam family "Bacterial small subunit ribosomal RNA", at positions 524 to 776 of the family's 1533-position model. The record is from RNAcentral.